AGAUGCGAUCAUACCAGCACUAAAGCAUCAGA
RNAcentral lists this ribosomal RNA (32 nucleotides) under Dactylis glomerata (orchard grass). Lineage: Eukaryota; Viridiplantae; Streptophyta; Magnoliopsida; Poales; Poaceae. The record is from RNAcentral.